AUAGAGCCUUAGUAGUAUAACU
This 22-nucleotide transfer RNA is filed under the name Crocidura nigripes (black-footed shrew). Its description in RNAcentral is "partial tRNA-Thr". Lineage: Eukaryota; Metazoa; Chordata; Mammalia; Eulipotyphla; Soricidae. The record is from RNAcentral.